AUUGGCUUUGUAGCUUCAUAAUGUCCUCUGGGUUAAUGAUAGAAAAAUCAUUAUUGGAAAGGAAUGACAUAAACAAAGGAACCACUGAAGUGCCAGAGGACUGGGGGAGGAAGUGGGGGAGGGUGUGUGGGCAGUGAAGGCGGCAGGGAUUAAGGCUUCCUUCUCUACCCCAGGCCUGAUGGAGAGAAGAAGGCAUAUGUUCGACUGGCUCCUGAUUACGAUGCUUUGGAUGUUGCCAACAAAAUUGGGAUCAUCUAAACUGAGUCCAGCUGGCUAAUUCUAAAUAUAUGUAUAUCUUUUCACCAUACACAUGCCUCUCUGUCAAUUUCUCGUUGGGUGGGAGGCCAUACACAGGAACUGUUGUUGUAACUUGCCCACUGCUUGGGCAAGACUCCUGUUCUGCUUAUCCUUUUGAAACUCACCCUGCCACUCACUCCUCCAUCCUUGAUCAUUCCAGAGAUCUUUGUGACUAGCGUUAGUGUCCUAGGAAAACCAGAACUCAGAGCUUGCCUCCAUGGUUGAGGGUAACAAAAAGCUUUACAAGAACUCCUUUCAUCCCUCGAAGAGGCUGUGUGUGAAACCAGUGCCCAGAGUUUGAAGCACGUUAGCAUCCAUUUCAGGGGAGUGUGGGUUGGCUGGCUUUCCAGUAGCAUUUUGUCCUCACACACCCAUUCGCUAUGUCCAACCGGUCUGUCUGCUUCCCUCACCCCUUGCCCAAUAAAGGACAAGGACUUCAGA
Molecule: long non-coding RNA, 738 nt
Organism: Cebus imitator (Panamanian white-faced capuchin)
Lineage: Eukaryota; Metazoa; Chordata; Mammalia; Primates; Cebidae
Exons: 2
Source: RefSeq, a predicted model, not a curated record